Molecule: ribosomal RNA, 519 nt
Filed under: uncultured bacterium
Lineage: Bacteria
Description: partial 16S ribosomal RNA
Rfam family: Bacterial small subunit ribosomal RNA
Source: RNAcentral
GACGAACGCUGGCGGCGUGCCUAAUACAUGCAAGUCGAACGCACUCUCGUUUAGAUUGAGGUGUUUGCUCCUGAUUGAUAAACAUUUGAGUGAGUGGCGUACGGGUGAGUAACAUGUGGGUAAACUGCCCUAAAGUGGGGGAUAAAAUAUGGAAACCGAUGCUAAUACGGCAUAAAACCUAACACCGCCUUGGGUCGGGUUGAAGGAUGGUUUUGGCAUUAACUUUAGGAUGGACCCGCGGUGCAUUAGUUAGUUGGUGAGGUAAAGGCUCACCAAGACCGUGAUGCAUAGCCGACCUGAGAGGGUAAUCGGCCACACUGGGACUGAGACACGGCCCAGACUCCUACGGGAGGCAGCAGUAGGGAAUCUUCCACAAUGGGCGAAAGUCUGAUGGAGCAACGCCGCGUGAGUGAAGAAGGUUUUCGGAUCGUAAAACUCUGUUGUUGGGGAAGAAUGUAUCUGAUAGUAACUGAUCAGGUAGUGACGGUAUCCAACCAGAAAGCCACGGCUAACUACGUG